RNAcentral lists this ribosomal RNA (446 nucleotides) under uncultured bacterium. RNAcentral's name for it is "bacterial SSU rRNA". It matches the Rfam family "Bacterial small subunit ribosomal RNA", at positions 354 to 796 of the family's 1533-position model. The record is from RNAcentral.
GUAAGGAAUAUUGGUCAAUGGGAGUAAUCCUGAACCAGCCAUGCCGCGUGCGGGAGGAAGGCCCUACGGGUCGUAAACCGCUUUUGCCCGGGGAUAGUGCGGCCCACGCGUGGGCCGUUGGAAGGUACCGGGCGAAUAAGCAUCGGCUAACUCCGUGCCAGCAGCCGCGGUAAUACGGAGGAUGCGAGCGUUAUCCGGAUUUAUUGGGUUUAAAGGGUGCGCAGGCGGACCGGUAAGUCAGCGGUGAAAUCCACACGCCCAACGUGUGAAGUGCCGUUGAUACUGCCGGACUGGUAUGCCGGGGGCGCGGCCGGAAUGUGUCGUGUAGCGGUGAAAUGCAUAGAUAUGACACAGAACGCCGAUCGUGAAGACAGGUCGCGAACCGGAGAUAGACGCUCAAGCACGAAAGCGUGGGGAUCAAACAGGAUUAGAAACCCUAGUAGUCC